This 1372-nucleotide ribosomal RNA is filed under the name uncultured bacterium. Its description in RNAcentral is "bacterial SSU rRNA". It matches the Rfam family "Bacterial small subunit ribosomal RNA", at positions 28 to 1381 of the family's 1533-position model. The record is from RNAcentral.
GAUGAACGCUGGCGGCGUGCCUAAUACAUGCAAGUCGAGCGAACGGACGAGAAGCUUGCUUCUCUGAUGUUAGCGGCGGACGGGUGAGUAACACGUGGAUAACCUACCUAUAAGACUGGGAUAACUUCGGGAAACCGGAGCUAAUACCGGAUAAUAUUUUGAACCGCAUGGUUCAAAAGUGAAAGACGGUCUUGCUGUCACUUAUAGAUGGAUCCGCGCUGCAUUAGCUAGUUGGUAAGGUAACGGCUUACCAAGGCAACGAUGCAUAGCCGACCUGAGAGGGUGAUCGGCCACACUGGAACUGAGACACGGUCCAGACUCCUAUGGGAGGCAGCAGUAGGGAAUCUUCCGCAAUGGGCGAAAGCCUGACGGAGCAACGCCGCGUGAGUGAUGAAGGUCUUCGGAUCGUAAAACUCUGUUAUUAGGGAAGAACAUAUGUGUAAGUAACUGUGCACAUCUUGACGGUACCUAAUCAGAAAGCCACGGCUAACUACGUGCCAGCAGCCGCGGUAAUACGUAGGUGGCAAGCGUUAUCCGGAAUUAUUGGGCGUAAAGCGCGCGUAGGCGGUUUUUUAAGUCUGAUGUGAAAGCCCACGGCUCAACCGUGGAGGGUCAUUGGAAACUGGAAAACUUGAGUGCAGAAGAGGAAAGUGGAAUUCCAUGUGUAGCGGUGAAAUGCGCAGAGAUAUGGAGGAACACCAGUGGCGAAGGCGACUUUCUGGUCUGUAACUGACGCUGAUGUGCGAAAGCGUGGGGAUCAAACAGGAUUAGAUACCCUGGUAGUCCACGCCGUAAACGAUGAGUGCUAAGUGUUAGGGGGUUUCCGCCCCUUAGUGCUGCAGCUAACGCAUUAAGCACUCCGCCUGGGGAGUACGACCGCAAGGUUGAAACUCAAAGGAAUUGACGGGGACCCGCACAAGCGGUGGAGCAUGUGGUUUAAUUCGAAGCAACGCGAAGAACCUUACCAAAUCUUGACAUCCUUUGACAACUCUAGAGAUAGAGCCUUCCCCUUCGGGGGACAAAGUGACAGGUGGUGCAUGGUUGUCGUCAGCUCGUGUCGUGAGAUGUUGGGUUAAGUCCCGCAACGAGCGCAACCCUUAAGCUUAGUUGCCAUCAUUAAGUUGGGCACUCUAAGUUGACUGCCGGUGACAAACCGGAGGAAGGUGGGGAUGACGUCAAAUCAUCAUGCCCCUUAUGAUUUGGGCUACACACGUGCUACAAUGGACAAUACAAAGGGCAGCGAAACCGCGAGGUCAAGCAAAUCCCAUAAAGUUGUUCUCAGUUCGGAUUGUAGUCUGCAACUCGACUACAUGAAGCUGGAAUCGCUAGUAAUCGUAGAUCAGCAUGCUACGGUGAAUACGUUCCCGGGUCU